Molecule: ribosomal RNA, 1469 nt
Filed under: uncultured bacterium
Lineage: Bacteria
Description: 16S ribosomal RNA
Rfam family: Bacterial small subunit ribosomal RNA
Source: RNAcentral
UUCGCCCUUAGAGUUUGAUCCUGGCUCAGAGCGAACGCUAGUGGUGGGCUUAAUACAUGCAAGUCGAACGAAACUCUUCGGAGUUUAGUGGCGGACGGGUGAGUAACACGUAGGUAACCUACCUUUUGGUUGUGGUAUAACUCAGGGAAACUUGAGCUAAUCCCCCUAUUGAUCUUCGGAUUGAAAGUCCUUCGGGGCGCCAAGAGAUGGGCCUGCGGCCUAUUAGCUUGUUGGUAAGGUAAUGGCUUACCAAAGGCUACGAUAGGUAGCUGGUCUGAGAGGAUGAUCAGCCACACUGGAACUGAGACACGGUCCAGACUCCUGCGGGAGGCAGCAGUAGGGAAUAUUGGACAAUGGGCGAAAGCCUGAUCCAGCCACACCACGUGAGUGAUUGAAGGCCUUAGGGUUGUAAAACUCUGUCCUGGGGGAAGAUAAUGACAGUACCCCAGAAGAAAGCACCGGCUAACUCCGUGCCAGCAGCCGCGGUAAUACGGAGGGUGCAAGCGUUGCUCGGAAUCACUGGGCGUAAAGGGAGCGCAGGCGGUCUAUUAAGUCAGGUGUGAAAGCCCAGAGCUCAACUCUGGAACUGCAUCUGAAACUGAUAAACUAGAGGAUGAAAGAGGAAAGUAGAAUUCCUGGUGUAGAGGUGAAAUUCGUUGAUAUCAGGAGGAAUACCCGCGGCGAAGGCGGCUUUCUGGUUCAUUUCUGACGCUGAGGCUCGAAAGUGUGGGGAGCAAACAGGAUUAGAUACCCUGGUAGUCCACACCGUAAACGAUGAAUGCUAGGCGUCCGGUUCGUUUAUCGGCUGGGUGCCGCAGCUAACGCAUUAAGCAUUCCGCCUGGGGAGUACGGUCGCAAGAUUAAAACUCAAAGGAAUUGACGGGGGCCCGCACAAGCGGUGGAGUAUGUGGUUUAAUUCGACGCAACGCGCAGAACCUUACCCAGUCUUAACAUCCCGUGAAGCAAGCAGAGAUGCUAGCGUGCUGCCGCAAGGUAGAAUACGGUGAUAGGUGCUGCAUGGCUGUCGUCAGCUCGKKYCGYSCAGWUGKKCGGUUAAGUCCGGUAACGAGCGCAACCCCUAUCCUUAGUUGCCAAUUAUGGAACUCUAAGGAGACUGCCGGUGUCAAACCGGAGGAAGGUGGGGACGACGUCAAGUCCUCAUGGCCCUUACGACUGGGGCUACACACGUACUACAAUGGUAACUACAAUGGGACGCAAUAUCGCGAGAUGGAGCAAAUCCCCAAAAGUUGCCUCAGUUCAGAUUGUAGUCUGCAACUCGACUACAUGAAGUUGGAAUCGCUAGUAAUCGUGGAACAGCAUGCCACGGUGAAUACGUUCCCGGGCCUUGUACACACCGCCCGUCACACCACGAAAGUUGAACUUACCCGAAAUCGUUAGCCUAAGCCCGCAAGGGAAGGAUGCGCCUACGGUAGAUUCGAUGAUUGGGGUGAAGUCGUAACAAGGUAACC